AAAAAAACGGGUUGGCGCCCCCCGGAGAAGACGAGAUGCGGGACGAAUAAUUUGGUUUUGACAACGACGGAAAAUACGAAGAAGACGAAGAAGAAGACGACG
This is a non-coding RNA of Caenorhabditis elegans, 102 nucleotides long. NCBI's taxonomy places the organism in Eukaryota, Metazoa, Nematoda, Chromadorea, Rhabditida, Rhabditidae. The record is from Ensembl.